Molecule: non-coding RNA, 107 nt
Organism: Arvicanthis niloticus (Nile rat)
Lineage: Eukaryota; Metazoa; Chordata; Mammalia; Rodentia; Muridae
Source: RefSeq, a predicted model, not a curated record
GUGCUUACUUCAGCAGCACAUAUACUAAAAUUGAAAAGAUAUGGAGAAGAUUAGCAUGGCCCCUGUGCAAGGAUUACAUGCAAAUUCAUGAAGGGUUCCAUAGUUUU